UGCACACAUGACUGUAAGUCACUUUAGAUAAAAGUGUCUGCUGAAUGACAUAUA
This is a non-coding RNA of Salmo salar (Atlantic salmon), 54 nucleotides long. The record is from Rfam. NCBI's taxonomy places the organism in Eukaryota, Metazoa, Chordata, Actinopteri, Salmoniformes, Salmonidae.